AUGCCUGAGAAUUCAGUAAAGGGGAAAUUCAUGGAAAGUGUGGCCACAGAUUGGUUUUCAGACAAGCACGGGCUGGAUCCAGAGUUGUUUUCUUAUCUAAGCAUUGUCUGGUCCUGUAGGGACAAUCUCUUCAUCAGCUGUACAGAAAGGAGAGAUCUAGUUCAUAAAAAGCUUAGGGGGGACAACUUUCCGCCCGCGCCUCUGCGAGCGUGCCGCUACCACUCUCGCUGUCUCCACUCCCGCGUCCUUGCCGCCCCUUCUUCUCUGCUGCUAGGUGGCCAAGAAGGAAGACGCAAUUCAGUCAGGAUCGCUAAAGGUGACCCCAAGAAACCAAAGGGCAAGAUGUCUGCUUAUGCCUUCUUCAUGCAGACAUGCAGGGAAGAACAUAAGAAGAAAAACCCAGAGGUUCCCGUCAAUUUUGCAGAGUUUUCCAAGAAGUGCUCUGAGAGGUGGAAGACCAUGUCUAGCAAAGAGAAAUCAAAGUUUGAUGAAUUGGCAAAGGCAGAUAAAGUACGCUAUGAUCAGGAGAUGGAUUAUGGACCAGCUAAGGGAGGCAAGAAGAAGAAGGACCCAAAUGCCCCCAAAAGACCUCCGUCUGGAUUUUUCUUAUUUUGCUCUGAAUUCUGCCCCAAGAUCAAAUCCACAAACCCUGGCAUCUCCAUUGGAGAUGUGGCAAAAAAGCUGGGUGAGAUGUGGAAUAACUUAAGUGACAGUGAAAAGCAGCCUUACAUCAGCAAGGCAGCGAAGCUGAAGGAGAAGUAUGAGAAGGAUGUUGCUGACUAUAAGUCUAAAGGGAAGUUUGAUGGUGCCAAGGGUCCUGCUAAAGUUGCCCGGAAAAAGGUGAAAGAAGAGGAAGAGGAGGAGGAAGAGGAAGAAGAGGGAGAGGAAGAGAAAGAGGAAGAAGAUGAAUAAAAACUCUGUUUCCUUGUGAAUACCUUAGAGUAGGAGAGCGCUGUGAUUGACACAUCUCUUAUUUGAGUCGUGUCUAUUGCCCUUGUUAGGUUUAAUUACAAAAUUUGAUCAUGAUCAUAUUGUAGUUUCUCAAAGUGUCAGUGGUUUACAUGAAGUGGCCGUGGGUGUCCCGAGCGCCCUGAAACUGUAUCAAAGUUGUACAUAGCUCCAAACAUUUUUUAAUUGAAAAGGCACUCUCGCGUCCUCCUCACUCAGUGCACUUUGCUGUUGGUGUGACAAGGCAAUCGAAGAUGUUUCUGGCAUUUUGUUCUCAACUCGUAAGGUAGUGUUAACUGUAUGGUGGUUGGCUAGCCAUCCUGAGUUGCCAUCUGUACAUAGCUAUAGUUUGUAAAGAGGACAAAACAACCCGGACGGAUCCUUGACGCUCCUUGUUUGGCGUGGAGGCUAUGAGGGGAAGAUGUCUUUUGGAGGGGCCGUAGCUCAGGGCGUGCACUGUGAGGCUGGACCUGUUGAUACUGUGGUGGGCAUCCAUUUAGCUUCAGGUUGUCCUGUUUUUGUAUAUAGUGGCAUAGCAUUCUGCUGACAUUCUUAGUGGAAAGGGGGAGGGGUCAGCUGGCAUGAGAAGUGUGUGGAGUUUUUUCUUUAGUUAAGAGCAGUAGGUUUUAAACAUUUUAAAGAAACUGUAGAACUCAUCGUUGUCAGCAAAGCAAAGAACUACUGCAUCAAUGGAAGUUCAAGAACCCUCUGGACCUAAACGCAAUUUGCAACAUUCUGUUAUUUUUUGUAUGUUUAGAAUGCUGAAAUGUUUUUGAAGUUAAAUAAACAGUAUU
Molecule: RNA transcript, 1742 nt
Organism: Mus pahari (shrew mouse)
Lineage: Eukaryota; Metazoa; Chordata; Mammalia; Rodentia; Muridae
Gene name: high mobility group protein B3 pseudogene
Exons: 2
Source: RefSeq, a predicted model, not a curated record